RNAcentral lists this ribosomal RNA (487 nucleotides) under uncultured bacterium. RNAcentral's name for it is "bacterial SSU rRNA". It matches the Rfam family "Bacterial small subunit ribosomal RNA", at positions 28 to 526 of the family's 1533-position model. The record is from RNAcentral.
GACGAACGCUGGCGGCGCGCCUAACACAUGCAAGUCGAGCGAGAACCAGGGCUUCGGUCCUGGGGACAGCGGCGAACGGGUGAGUAUCACGUGGGUAACCUGCCCUCGGCACCGGGAUAGCCCGGGGAAACUCGGAUUAAUACCGGACAGCCUCACUAGCCCUCGGGCGAGUGAGAAAAGGUGGCUUCGGCUUCCGGCUGAGGAUGGGCCCGCGGCCGAUUAGCUUGUUGGUGGGGUAAUGGCUCACCAAGGCUCCGAUCGGUAGCUGGUCUGAGAGGACGAUCAGCCACACUGGGACUGAGACACGGCCCAGACUCCUACGGGAGGCAGCAGUGGGGAAUCUUGCGCAAUGGGCGAAAGCCUGACGCAGCGACGCCGCGUGCGGGAAGAAGGCCUUCGGGUUGUAAAGCUCUUUCAGCUGGGAAGAUAAUGACGGUACCAGCAGAAGAAGCCCCGGCUAACUCCGUGCCAGCCGCCGCAGUAAAAC